GACGAACGCUGGCGGCGUGCUUAACACAUGCAAGUCGAACGGAAAGGCCCUGCUUUUGUGGGGUGCUCGAGUGGCGAACGGGUGAGUAACACGUGAGUAACCUGCCCUUGACUUUGGGAUAACUUCAGGAAACUGGGGCUAAUACCGGAUAGGAGCUCCUGCUGCAUGGUGGGGGUUGGAAAGUUUCGGCGGUUGGGGAUGGACUCGCGGCUUAUCAGCUUGUUGGUGGGGUAGUGGCUUACCAAGGCUUUGACGGGUAGCCGGCCUGAGAGGGUGACCGGCCACAUUGGGACUGAGAUACGGCCCAGACUCCUACGGGACGCAGCAGUGGGGAAUAGUGCACAAUGGGCGGAAGCCUGAUGCAGCAACGCCGCGUGCGGGAUGACGGCCUUCGGGUUGUAAACCGCUUUCGCCUGUGACGAAGCGUGAGUGACGGUAAUGGGUAAAGAAGCACCGGCUAACUACGUG
RNAcentral lists this ribosomal RNA (468 nucleotides) under uncultured bacterium. RNAcentral describes it as "partial 16S ribosomal RNA". It matches the Rfam family "Bacterial small subunit ribosomal RNA", at positions 28 to 507 of the family's 1533-position model. The record is from RNAcentral.